Molecule: ribosomal RNA, 466 nt
Filed under: uncultured Roseateles sp.
Lineage: Bacteria; Pseudomonadati; Pseudomonadota; Betaproteobacteria; Burkholderiales; Sphaerotilaceae
Description: bacterial SSU rRNA
Rfam family: Bacterial small subunit ribosomal RNA
Source: RNAcentral
GCCUACGGGAGGCUGCAGUGGGGAAUUUUGGACAAUGGACGCAAGUCUGAUCCAGCCAUGCCGCGUGCGGGAAGAAGGCCUUCGGGUUGUAAACCGCUUUUGUCAGGGAAGAAAAGGUUCUGGUUAAUACCUGGGACUCAUGACGGUACCUGAAGAAUAAGCACCGGCUAACUACGUGCCAGCAGCCGCGGUAAUACGUAGGGUGCAAGCGUUAAUCGGAAUUACUGGGCGUAAAGCGUGCGCAGGCGGUUAUGCAAGACAGAGGUGAAAUCCCCGGGCUCAACCUGGGAACUGCCUUUGUGACUGCAUAGCUAGAGUACGGUAGAGGGGGAUGGAAUUCCGCGUGUAGCAGUGAAAUGCGUAGAUAUGCGGAGGAACACCGAUGGCGAAGGCAAUCCCCUGGACCUGUACUGACGCUCAUGCACGAAAGCGUGGGGAGCAAACAGGAUUAGAUACCCUGGUAGUC